Molecule: ribosomal RNA, 253 nt
Filed under: uncultured bacterium
Lineage: Bacteria
Description: partial 16S ribosomal RNA
Rfam family: Bacterial small subunit ribosomal RNA
Source: RNAcentral
UACGUAGGUGGCAAGCGUUGUCCGGAUUUAUUGGGUUUAAAGGGUGCGUAGGCGGCUUUAUAAGUCAGUGGUGAAAUACGGCAGCUCAACUGUCGAGGUGCCAUUGAUACUGUAAAGCUAGAGUACUGAUGAGGUAGGCGGAAUGGACGGUGUAGCGGUGAAAUGCUUAGAUAUCGUCCAGAACACCGAUAGCGAAGGCAGCUUACUAAAGAGUAACUGACGCUGAGGCACGAAAGUGUGGGGAUCAAACAGG